This 457-nucleotide long non-coding RNA is filed under the name Dermacentor andersoni. RNAcentral describes it as "uncharacterized LOC126518592". Lineage: Eukaryota; Metazoa; Arthropoda; Arachnida; Ixodida; Ixodidae. The record is from RNAcentral.
GAAGCGAAAUGUGUGACGGCAAGUGAGAAAUUUCCCACGUGCCGAAGUCUGGACGCUUUCCGGAGCUGUAGGCUAAGCUUGCGGCUACGUCACUGAAAUGCGUGAUCGGUCCCUGCCAGUGAAGUGCGACGUGGUCAUGAAACAAGCCCGGACCUUCGCCUUAAUUUUAAGGUUCUGCUCCACCGUGAGUACAACGAGUGGCUGGUGGCAGAAGACUGCGAAUUUAUGCCAACCGGACCUGUCAAAAGAGCCUCCCUGACGGCUGCGUGUGGCUGGGUGCAUUUGGCGUGGGCUGCUGUUCUGCAAGAUGUCCUGGUGCGGUAGUUUGCCAAAUUUGAAAUUUCGCUGGACCACGACGCGCUGUGGGACCGCAGCAACGAUGACGAUGGCAGCACUAGUGAAGACGAGUAGUCCAGUGACCAUGUCAGCUACUAAUAAAUUUUCGUUAUCGAAUGCG